CAGUCGACCGGUACUAUAGACUACUGGCAAUUCAAGUCGAAUCGAAACAUUUCGAACUAUUUUCGUUUGGAACAUAUAAGUCAACAAUGGAUUGUCACAGCAAUGUUGUACCACGUACACCGCCGCCGCCGUAUAGUUCCAUGAGGCCACCACAGUAUCUAUAUUUAUCUCAACGAAGUGAUCGAGAUCAAGCAGAAAUAAUUGAUGUUCAGUCAAAUUUGCCAUUGUGUUUUAAUGAGUUCCUUGAUUGUCUCGCGCAUUAAUGCAUGUUUGGGAUAUUUGACGCAGAUCGACCAUUUAAUGGUAAAAGAGCGGGUCCAUUUUCUGGCACCAAACGAUACAUUCACCGUCAAAAAUUCCGCCGGACAAAAUAUUUAUUGGGAGACUGAAGAGCCAAAUUGCUGUGCCCGAGGAAGUUUUGGCGCAUCUCGUCCGUUCGACGUGAAAGUAAUGAACAUUCAAAGCCACGAAGUGAUGCAUUUUUAUCGACGCAUCGGUGUUGGUUAUCGUGAUUAAAUCGAAGUAUCAGCACCUCUUGGUAAAGUAAUCGGACGCGUCAAAGAAGACUGGUCAUUUCUAAAUCAUAGCUUCACAGUUAAAAAUCAUGAAAAUACACCUGUUUUACGAAUCGAAGCGCCAUUCUUUAAAUCAAGUCUCUUUGGUGAUGCUGAAUUCAAAAUUCUUCUAAUGGAUGGCACUCAAAUUGGAAGAAUAUCCAAAAAAUUAUUAUUAGACAUUGAAGAAGACAUUAUUACGGUAUAACUUUCCCAUUGGAAUUGGAUGUUCGAAUGAAAGCUGUGCUGUUAGGCGCUUGUUUUAUGCUUAAUUCCAGAUUCUACGAAAGACUCUAAAGACGGAAGUGAUUUUUAUAGGCAAAAUAAUUCAAUUGUUAGGAAUUCUUCGCCUAAGCUAUUUUAACCAAAAUUCGAAGAAAAAAAUCAUUCAUUUUAAUUUAUUAGAAAUUCACAGGUUUAAGAAAAAA
This is a long non-coding RNA of Contarinia nasturtii (swede midge), 982 nucleotides long. RefSeq lists it as uncharacterized. The record is from RefSeq and is a predicted model, not a curated record. The transcript has 6 exons. NCBI's taxonomy places the organism in Eukaryota, Metazoa, Arthropoda, Insecta, Diptera, Cecidomyiidae.